RNAcentral lists this ribosomal RNA (241 nucleotides) under uncultured Actinomycetales bacterium. RNAcentral's name for it is "partial 16S ribosomal RNA". It matches the Rfam family "Bacterial small subunit ribosomal RNA", at positions 89 to 334 of the family's 1533-position model. The record is from RNAcentral. Lineage: Bacteria; Bacillati; Actinomycetota; Actinomycetes; Actinomycetales.
ACUCGAGUGGCGAACGGGUGAGUAACACGUGGGUGAUCUGCCCUGCACUCUGGGAUAAGCCUGGGAAACUGGGUCUAAUACCGGAUAGGACCAUGCUUUAGUGUGUGUGGUGGAAAGUUUUUCGGUGUAGGAUGAGCCCGCGGCCUAUCAGCUUGUUGGUGGGGUAAUGGCCUACCAAGGCGGCGACGGGUAGCCGGCCUGAGAGGGUGUACGGCCACAUUGGGACUGAGAUACGGCCCAG